This 382-nucleotide ribosomal RNA is filed under the name uncultured eukaryote. Its description in RNAcentral is "partial 18S ribosomal RNA". It matches the Rfam family "Eukaryotic small subunit ribosomal RNA", at positions 592 to 976 of the family's 1831-position model. The record is from RNAcentral.
UGUAAGCGUAUGCCAAAGUUGUUGCAGUUAAAACGCUCGUAGUCGGACUUUGGCAGUUCCGGAUGUGUGCACGUCGUGUGCGCACUUCGCGGGGAUUGCUUUUGUGGUCUUGCGUAGGAUGAGGCACUUUUAUUAGUGAACGUCCUCACGCAACCACUUUUUACUGUGAGAAAAUCAGAGUGCUCAAAGCAGGCAUUUGCCGUGAAUGUAUUAGCAUGGAAUAAUAGAAUAGGACUUGGUUCUAUUUUGUUGGUUUGUUGGGACUGAGUAAUGAUUAAGAGGGACAGUUGGGGGCAUUUGUAUUUCGGUGCUAGAGGUGAAAUUCUUAGAUUACCGAAAGACAAACUGCUGCGAAAGCGUCUGCCAAGGAUGUUUUCAUUGA